AAAUUCCAUCUAAAGCUAAAUAUUGGCGAGAGACCGAUAGCGAACAAGUACCGUGAGGGAAAGAUGAAAAGAACUUUGGAAAGAGAGUUAAACAGUACGUGAAAUUGCUGAAAGGGAAACGCUUGAAGUCAGUCGCGUUGGCCGGGGAUCAGCCUCGCUUUUGCGUGGUGUACUUUCCGGUUGACGGGUCAGCAUCAAUUUUGACCGCUGGAAAAAGGCUUGAGGAAUGUGGCAGCUCCGGCUGUGUUAUAGCUUCUUGUCACAUACAGCGGUUGGGAUUGAGGUACUCAGCACGCCGCAAGCCGGGUUUCGACCACGUUCGUGCUUAGGAUGCUGCAUAAUGGCUUUAAGCGACCCGUCUUGAAACACGGACCAAGGAGUCUAACAUGCCUCGAGUGUUUGCCUGGAAAACCGAGCGCGUAAUGAAAGUGAAAGUUGAGAUCCCUGUCGCGGGGAGCAUCGACGCCCGGACCAGAACUUUUGGGACGGAUCCGCGGUAGAGCAUGUAUGUUGGGACCCGAAAGAUGGUGAACUAUGCCUGAAUAGGGUGAAGCCAGAGGAAACUCUGGUGGAGGCUCGUAACGAUUCUGACGUGCAAAUCGAUCGUCAAAUUUGGGUAUAGGGGCGAAAGACUAAUCGAACCAUCUAGUAGCUGGUUCCUGCCGAAGUUUCCCUCAGGAUAG
RNAcentral lists this ribosomal RNA (683 nucleotides) under Atta mexicana symbiont JF-1. RNAcentral's name for it is "eukaryotic LSU rRNA". It matches the Rfam family "Eukaryotic large subunit ribosomal RNA", at positions 301 to 981 of the family's 3401-position model. The record is from RNAcentral. Lineage: Eukaryota; Fungi; Basidiomycota; Agaricomycetes; Agaricales; Agaricaceae.